Molecule: ribosomal RNA, 253 nt
Filed under: uncultured bacterium
Lineage: Bacteria
Description: partial 16S ribosomal RNA
Rfam family: Bacterial small subunit ribosomal RNA
Source: RNAcentral
UACGGAGGGUGCGAGCGUUGUCCGGAAUCACUGGGCGUAAGGGGCGCGUAGGCGGCCUGAUAAGUAGGGGGUGAAAUCUUGCGGCUUAACCGCAAGGCUGCCUUCUAAACUGUCAGGCUAGAGCACAGUAGAGGCAGGUGGAAUUCCCGGUGUAGCGGUGGAAUGCGUAGAGAUCGGGAAGAACAUCAGUGGCGAAGGCGGCCUGCUGGGCUGUUGCUGACGCUGAGGCGCGACAGCGUGGGGAGCAAACAGG